RNAcentral lists this long non-coding RNA (6665 nucleotides) under Sus scrofa (pig). Its description in RNAcentral is "lncRNA (ENSSSCG00040035477.1)". Lineage: Eukaryota; Metazoa; Chordata; Mammalia; Artiodactyla; Suidae. The record is from RNAcentral.
GUUAAGUUGAUUUUUCAACAGUAAAGUUCCUCCUUUCUUUCUGUGUGUCUGUGUGGUUUUAAAUCACAUUUGAACAUAUGUAAGAAUAUUAUGUUGGAAAUCUACGCUAAUCGAAGCAAAGAGUUUAAUGGGCUUCAUAAAGGUAAGGACAUGCCAUACCUCAGUUGAUUGCUUCUCAAUUAGGAUGCAGGAUGUUAUCCCAUUCUUCCUUUUGGGUAUGACUUGAGUCUGUACAGUGCAGUACAUAAAUGAUUUUCCAUGGCUUUUUAAAAGGCGGUGCAUAUUAAUAUUUUAAACUGAAGUAAUUGCUUCUUGCUCAGCAAUGGGUUUCAUUUAUGAGUGUUUAUCCUCGGCAAAUGGAAAGUAUGGUUAAUCUAAGUUAAAAAUGGGUUCUUUAAAUAGCUCUAAUUACAUUCUGUUUAUAUUUGUAUGUAUUAGACACUUAAGAUUUAAUCGGUAGCAGUUCUAACAAACCAUAAUGUUUAUUAGCUGGUUUUAAAUUAUUGUUAUGGAUGGCAGUUGAACGAGAAAAUAAAUGACUUGUCUACUAUAAAACUCAGUAAAUAAAAGAUGGACCAAGGUUUUAAAAAUGAUUUUUAGUACAACUUCAAAAUUUAAACAAAUUUAUCAGAAAGAGUUUCCAUAAGCAAAUUCUUCUGUUAUCAGUUUUUUGUUGUUGUUAAACAUUCAAAAGAAAAGUAGUCUCUAAUGGUAUCAAGUUAGUGGGAUUUCCAAAAAUUAUCAAAAUCUUGAUGUUAAGUGUCAACAGAAGAAAUUAAAUUUUAUACUUUAAUUCAUGUUUAUUUAACUAAAACAGCAAAGAGAGAUUUCUUCUUUAGGAAAAAGAAAAAUUUAUUAAGAAUAAACAUAAAAAUCAGAGAUAAUAGGUUGAAUUUUUUUUAUGUUAAAACCCACCUGUUUUACCUUGAUGUCAUGCUAGCUUAAGUCAAUUUAAUUUGCUUAUACUCUGCAUUUUGCUUAACCAGAAAAGGCUUGGUUGAGUAAUGCUUCCUUUCUCUGAAAUCUGUGAAAGGUCUCCCCUUAUCUUUGGGGAAAACUUCUGAAUUACACUUGAGUUUUACUCAGUGAAUUAAGAGACUCUCAGUCAUUUCAUUGACAUUUCAUUUCCUAUUUGUUUUUUUGGGAUUUUCAAGACAUGCAAAAGAAAGUAUAAAAGAUAAUUUAUUAAUAAAACAUCUUUAUCUCUAUGGAAUUAUAAGCAUUUAUAGUUGUUUUUAAAAUGCAAUAGCAUUCCCAGAAAUUUGUGAAAUUAUUAGUGUCCUUUUAUAAAUAAAGAAGCAGCAAUAGAAAUAUUAUGAUGUUCCUCCCGUGGUCUGUAAGUUAAAAAAAAAAAAUGAAACAACAUAACAACAUUCUAUACCACACUUUCUCACUAGCAAAUUUUUAAUUAGAAAGCAGAGUGAGUUGUUCCCACUGUGGCAAGUGGGUUAGGGACCUGACUACAGCGGCUCAAUGGGUUUGAUUCCUGGUCCUCCACAGUAGGUUAAGGAUCCAGCAUUGCUGCAGCUGUGGCAUAGUCACAGCUGUGGCUCGGAUUCCAUCCCUGCCCCAGGAAGUUCUAUAUGCCAUGUGUGUGGCCCAAAAAUAUAAAGAAAAAGAAAGAGAGAAAGCAAGCAAGAAGUGUGAUCUCGGGCGAGUUACAAAACCUUUUUGUACUUCAACUUCCCUGUUAGUCAAAGUGGGGAUUAUAACAGUGCCUAACUUAUCAAGUUAGCAUGAGAGUCAGAUAGAGAACUAUAAGAAAGCAGAUAGAGCAUGGUCUUAUAUACAUGGUAGGUAUCCCUCUAGUGCUGAACUCUGUCCAAAGAGGUGCAAUCCAGUCUCUGUCCCUGCCCAACUUCAGGUCUCCUCUCCUGUCUUUGUCUCCUAAAGCACCCACAAUUGGGCCACCCCUCAACCUCAAACCUGCUAAAGUUUUCCUCUCUAUUGAAUACAGCCCCACAUGCUCCCAUAGCAUCUCUGCAGCAUACCCCAGGCUCUGGUACCCUCACCUUCCCCUCCAUAAUCAUCUCCCAGGGGGCUGGAAAACUCUUGCCUCUCAGCCAGUCCUCCCUGCUCAGUUCAGAUUUUCCCUCCUCUGUACUGAUACCUUUACUUUUUCUUCCCCACCCUUCAAGACUGAGACAAACACCAUUUCCAGGACAGUCCCUCCCCAGAUCUGCCUAUCUCUAGGUUCUAAUGAUGGUAUUUGUUUCAUACCAUUCAUAUGCUCCUUACCUUAUUUGACUCUCAGCAUAAAUAUUCGUAAACCUGUCUCUCUCCCCUAUUCUAUCAUAUCCUUGUUCAUAUCUUCUGCAUGUAACUCAGGCCUGGCAUGUGGUAGGUACUCAAUAAAUAUGUAUAAAUGGGUAUUUUUGCAUGACUAAGUGAAUGUUGCUCAGUGUGGGGUGCUGUAUCUUGCAUGACUAAGCAUCAGGGUGUGAAGUUGCCAUUGACAAGUAAUAUAUGAAUUCAUUCAUUCAUUAGUCAGUCAGUUAGUCUGUAGAAAUUGUGAAUGCUUUAUCUCUUUUGCCCACCCUCACAUUCUCUCUCAAUGACUGUUUCUUUCUAUUAAUAAUUUCCUGAUUUCUUAUUAUGUGUCAUGUAUGAUGUUGGUGCCAGUGAUCUAGGGGUGAACAAGACAGUGAUUGUCACAACCAAUAAUAGCCUUAGAGAAUAAAAGGAGGCCUGGCUCAAGCAGUCAUGACAGUGAGGUGUGAUGGCAUUACAGCAGAGAUUGUCCAGGGAACCAUAGAAACAAAGAACAGGGGAUCUGACUUAGUCUGGGUGUCACAAAAGACCUCCUUGGGGAAGCAAUUUUUAAACCAAGACCCAAGAAAAGCACAGGGUGAACCCAGCAGAAGGAUAGGGAGUCAGUAUAAUUGCUGAGGUACCAUGCCAGGCUUCAGGACGAAGAUAAGUGAGAAAAAAAAAUUGUUCCUACGUCUGCAGAGCUCAUAAUAAAACCAUUUGCAGUCAGUCUAUGAAGAAAGCAAGCAGUUGUUAUAAAAAGGUAACAUAUGGAAGGGAAAUGACAUCAAAUUAUAUGGGGUGGCCGGAUUAUAACUUUCUGAAGAGGUGCCCUUUAAUCUGAGAUCUGUAGGGUCAGAAGGAUGCAGCCAUGGGAACCCAGGCAUAAGAGCAUUCUAAGCAGAGGCACUGGCCUGGACAGAGCUCUGAUGGUGGAAAGGACUUGGAUUAUCCAAAGAACUGAAAGGACACAUGGAAGAAAAGCUGAAGUGAUGAGGUCACCAAGAUGCACUUCCCACACCACGGAGGACCUCAUAAGCUGAGAGAAAGAGUUUGCUUUAUUUACUCCAGGUUCAUUGGGAAACCGUUAAUGGUCUUUAAGUAAAAGUGUGGCAUGACCAAAUUUCUUUUUUUUUUUAAGUUUUAUUGAAUUAUAGUUGAUUUACAAUGUUGUGAUAAUUUCUUCUGUAUGACAAAGUGAUUCAGUUACACAUAUAUGCGUAUCCAUUGUUUUUCACAUUCUCUUCCCAUAUAGUUUAUUACAGAAUAGUGGAUAGAAUUCCCUGUGCUAUACAGUAGGCCUCCAGUUUACUGGGGAUGACCCAAUGUAUUUCUUAAAGAGUCACCUUGCUUUCUGCAGGAAGAUUGUUUCUAAGAUGGGAAGCACAGAAGCAGGGCAUUUAGGAUGAUGGUAACUUAGACCAAAGUAGGAAAAACAGAAGGAAGAGUGGAAGUCUAUAAACAUAUUAGAAAAAUGGUGAACAGGAUGUGUGCAUUGAAUGUGGGAACUAUAGGAAGAGGAAUAAAGAGCAUAAGGGCAGAGGUGAUGAUUAUUGUGUCAAGUCCUUUUAGCUAACUCUAUCCUGCCAGGGCUUCUUCUUUGGCUCUGGAGUUAUUUCUCUUACAUCCUGGCCCUACUACAGGAACAGAGAAUGUUCUUGGAUUCUUUAUUUUAUAUUUAGCUCUUAAGACCUUAAGACAAUCUUGAAGGAAAAGGAUGUAAACUCCAAUCAAUCUAAAUGUGACCUUCAAUCUUGAACUUGGCUUCUCAGUUUUCCUGGUACCCUUUCUCCCAAAGUGAAAAUUUACAGGUGCCUCUUGAAGGCUCCUCCAUCCCCAGAGAAAAGACCCUGACCUCACUUAACAUGUGGUCCUCAGGUAAUCAUGAAGGGUGCCUUUGAAUUAUCUCCUCCAUAUUCCAUAGAGGUCUCUUUCUGGCCUUUCAAGUGCUGUGUAGCCACUAAGGACAGCAUCUGGGCAACGUAGAACACAGCCUCGCCUUGUUAACAUGCAGUUCUUACCAGAUGUUGGCUCUGGUUGUAUAAGAGAGAAAAUCCAAAUGAAUCUUGAUGUAGAACUAAGCUAACUUUCAUUGAUGUUUGCUGCCACAAUGAAGCAAACUUAUAUUCUAGACUUCCCAACAUUUUAUAGCUAGAAGGAGCCUUAGAUAUCCUGUUAUCUAAUGCCUUCAUUGUAUAGAUAGGAAAACAAAAAUGUAGAAAAUUGAAGUGAUUUGGGGCAUACUCUGCUAUUCCAGAAAAUCAUAACCUUUGGAACCAGAAAAAUCUGGAGUCUAAUUCUAUCCAUGUCUCUUUAGCUGGAAAAAUUAUUAAUCUUUGCAUCUUCCUUCGAUGUCCUCAUUUUUUAAAAAAGGGUUAAUAAUUCCUACUUUGCGCAAUAGUUGAAGGAGUUAGAAUCAGUGUACAUGAAACACAUAUAAGCACUUGAUAAAUGGUAACUAUGUUUAUAUAUUAACUUUUUCUUGUCCAUUGCAAAAGUGAUAGGACCCCUUGGGUUCAUGUAAACCCAGUACUCAAAUUUCCCUAACUAAUGAUCUUUCUCUACACAAUGUACAACCUGAUAAAAUUUUUCAUGUGUUCAUGGAGUCUCAUCAGGUCUAUUUGGAAAUAACAACAACAACAACAACAACAAAAAAAAAACCACAUCCCCCCUCGUGCCCUCUUCAAGCCCUUUGGAACUCUUCUGUGCCCUGGAGAAUCAGGUACACAAGUUGUAAUUUUAUCGAGCAGUGAUAUGCCACUAUGGUAGAAAAAAUAAAAAAGCUAAAGCAGUAUUUCAACUCUAAGAACCAGGUCUGGCACCCAUAAUAAAAGACUCUUUUAAUAGGAAGAAUAAUCUAUCAAUCUUGUGAAAGGGCUGUUGGAAAAGGCUCGAAGUCCUACUGCAAUACAAAACAUAAAUGGUACAUUGUCCUAGUUUUUUGCUGAAAAUUGUGUGUUAGCACUGAAGAACAGAAUUCGCUCUUCUUCAGCCUGCAUUUUUAGAAUAUGCUAUAAAGACAACUCUAUUUUCUAGGGGUUAAUAAAUGACAUCAGAAAGAGAGAUGGUGUGGAGCAAAUGAAAAUCAUCAUAAUAAUUAUAUUAACAAUCUUAUGUAUUUCCACACUUAAGGUGCAAGAAAAAAAAAUCUAUGUUUCUGCUCAUGGUGGGGAAAAAACCCUCUUCUUAUUUUUUUAGGCACUUUAUGGUGUUUUACUAACUAAGAUAGAGUUAGAACCCUAAUCCUGCUGGAGUGAAGUCAGGUGUUGCUGGAUGACGGUGCAAGGAGCUCAUUUCUGGUAUUUGCCACUUGAGUGUGCUCUCGAAUAGGCAUGAAGCUAUUCUGUUCACCAAAAAUGUGCAGGAUUCCUAGGGAAAGCUCUUGGAGAUUUUGAGGUGAUAUCCUCCAUGGAGGAAGAUGGAAAUAAGAUCCCUAGAGUAAUCCUUCAGUAUUUUAAUAUUGUCAGAGGUGCCUAUAAGCCAAGGAGAGAGUGAAAAUGGAAAGACUGGAAACUUAUACUCUAAAAGCAAAAUUGCUUUGUACUUGUUAGGUGUUCUGUUUGUUGCUCCAUUUUCUUUCCUUAGUAUUUAAGACCGCCAGCCAUUUCAGCUGAGCUAAGAGGAGGGAGAUAGUAUAUCUAUAGAUAUAUAGAUGUUAAAUAUCUAUUCUUGGGCCAGAUGUAUAAGGAAAGAAAGAGGUCUCACAGUACAUGGCUGGAUCUGGUAUAGGUGGAGAGCUCAGGUUACUUAGAGAACCCCAAGGCAAAGAGGCACCUGCUCCUUCCUCCGUGGUAUGUCUUUGAGGGUCUUGGUUUUAUUUUAUUAAUUUCUUAGUCUAAUGUUCUUCAACAACCAGUAUUUUAUCUCAAUACUUUAAUCUAUAUUCUAAAUUUUACCUCAUCUUGACCACAGUAAUAAACAAUUUUGAAAUAAAAUGGCAAGCAAUUGACCACAUGGAGAAGCACUGGUAAUUGAAGGGAUUGAAGCAGAAUAGCAUAUCUUUUGCAGAUUUUUUAAAAUAUUCUAGCUUAGAUUUAUUAGACAUUUUUGUUACACUAUUUUGAAAGAAAGCCAUCAAUGAAAAACAAUGAUUAUGAUAAUUUUGAAAAACAAUCAGUUAAAAUAUAACAUCCCUGAAAAUACAAGUUGUAUGAUUUUUAAAAUGUAGAGUUUGGUCUGUUCCUUGUAGGAAUAUAAAAUAAAUGGUCAGUCCCUCUUUUACCCAUAUCCUGAACAUUAGUUUUUUUAACUUAUACCAUUUAAAUUAAGUCUCCUAAUGAACUAUUUCAAACAUAUGGGAAAAUAUAGAUAUCCUCUCAACUGGGUCAUUCCAUGAGAACAUGGUUAGUUUUUCUAGAAUUAUUGACUCAAUCGAUUCUCUACUGAGUGUUUACUAAAUAUUGAGCCCACUUUCC